CCCUCUCUUGCCUGCCACCAUGUAAGAAGUCCCUUUGGUCUUCCUUUGUCUUCUGCCGUGAUUGUGAGGCCUCCCCAGCCAUGUGGAACUGUACUCAAACUGUGGCCCAAGUGCUGGUAGCAUUAGCAUCAACUGGAAGCUUGUUAGAAAUGUAGAAUCUCAGAUCUCACCCCAGAAUGGACUAUGGACUCAGAAUCUGCAUUUUAAUAAGAUUCACAAUUCACAGUAUAAAAUAAUAAGAUGGCUGAUCCUGCAAAGAGGCGCGGUGACAUCAACAGUGACUCAGUCUCUAUGAUGGUAUUAGUAACUGGCAGCUGACUCUCCUAUUUAUCAUCAAGUUAUGUUCCAAAUAAGACUUUCAAGUCUGAGAAAAAUGACAAAUCCCUUCCAGGCAUGGUUCAAGUUAAAGCUGAAACUGUGUCUUCGUUUCAGCUCAAGAGAGGUUUUGAUUGUGUCGUGGCUUUUCCUUGUGUAUUGGUUGAGGAACUGUGCCUUGGAGGGGCGGGGAGUCUUGAGAAUGGGUCAACUGAUGGAGGGGGAGUGGAAGACAUUGGUUGCCCAAGAAAAUAUGUCAACAUCUGUCCAUCACUGCAACUCCGGCCUGAUUAUCAUUUUUUCUGCUUCUGUAAGCACCAAUGAGACAAUGCCACUGAACCACAUUCUUUGUUGCCUGCAGUAUUUCCCACCACUGCGCCACCUCUGAUAUGCUAAUGAGGAAGCCCAGGGUUUUGUGUGGCUGAAAAGCCUUUCAGGCACAAUCAGUGGGUCAACAAUCUCAACUCUGUACAGCGGCUCAGCCUGCUCUGUGAGAGGCUCCUCUUUCGGAGGGGUCCUUCCUCACACCUUUUCUGUGAGUGCGUCUGUGCUUAAGGAAGGGCAAUUAACCAUCUGGCUGCUUGUCCCCUGGAGAAAUUGACAGAACAUCAAACAGAAUAAACUCAUACCUUGAAAACUGCCAAGUGGCACAUGACUGUCCGGUUCACUGUGGGGAGAAGCCACUAACCAAUGGUCUGAAUCUAAAAAUGACCCAGUGGCACCGGUUUGUAGUAAAACUUUGAAGAUAGAACUCCAUGCAAAUUCUGACUCCAUAGUGCUGGUUCUUGAUGUAAAUCUCCCAAUGUAACUGUCAAGGUUUAAAAAUAUCUUACGUAGGUGUUCAGAAUCAUAUUCUGUUUCUACUAGUAUUGUUAACCAUUGCAAAGAAAUACUGUUGCCCUCCAUUAAAACCUGAACUGCCUGCUGUCUAUGGUUUAUUUAUCUAACAAAGAUUUAUUGUGGCGCCAGACAUUGUAAUAGGCCAUAAAGACACAAAAAAGAAAAAUAGAUAGUUUCUGACCUCAGGAAAAACUUAGUCACAUGAGGGAGACAGUAUAUAAUACAACGUGGUUAGUACCUGAUGAAACAGUGCACAUGGUGCCAUGGGAACACAAAAGCCAGCCACAGGGAAGUCAAGGAAGGCUUCCUGGAGGACAGUGAACCGAAUCUUAAACUGAAUAAUAUGUAGUGAGGAAAAGCGAGGGUAAAUGGAAUUUUAUGAAAUUUGUCAGAAGAGGUUAACCAUUGUAACAAACAGCCCUGGAAUUUCAGGGGCAAACACAACCAAGAUUUAUUUCUUGCCUAUGUCACAGUCUAAUGAGGUUGUCAGGGGAUGUCACAAAGUGUGGUACUGUGUUCUAUGAAGUCUUUCAGAGACCUGGUUCCUUCCAUUAGCAACUCCCCCAUCUUCUAAGACUGCACUGGAUUCUUGGUUUCCUCUUCCCCAGAUAGUUUGGCACCAGGAGUGUCCUCAGUAAGAUAGAUCUGCUUCCUGCUCUCAUGGAACUACUCUAAUGAAGAAACACACAAAUCAAUACAUAAGAAAAAUAGGCCUUACUUAGAUGGGAUGGUCAGGGAAAGCCUCUUUGGAAAGAUGACAUUUGAGCUGAUAUGUAAAUGACAAGAAGGAGCUAUCCACAAGAAUGUGGAGGAGGAGGGACAUUCCAGGCACAGAGUUAAGUUAGAGUCAAGGUCCUUAGUUAAGAAUAAGCUAGGUAAGCGUCAGGAUAGAAAAAUGUCCAGUGUAGCUGAGGAUAGUGGGCCAAUGGGUGAAUGGACAGAUGAGGUCUCAGAGGUCAGCAGAAGUUAGCUCAUGAAGGACAUUAUAAACUAGAUUAAGAAGGAUGGAUUUUUAAUCUAAGUGCAAUGAAAAGUUAUUAGAGAGAUUUGAGCCCAGAACUAAUGUGAUUUAUAUUUUUACAAAACAAUUCAUGUGGAAGCAGAGAAAACUAGUUAGGAGGCUUUUGUACAAGCCCCAGUUGACAAAGGGUGGUGAUACCAGUGGAGAUGGGGAAAAAUUGAAAGGUUUGAGAGGUGCUUUGAAAAUAGAAUUCACGGGACUUGCUGUUCCAGAAGUAUUGGGUGUGGAAGGUGAGGGAAGCUAUAAGACAGUAAUCAAGAACAAUUACUUGAGCACUAAGUGGGUGGUAAAACCAUUUACUGAGAUAUGUGUAUUUCUAGGGGAGCUAUAUGAGAUACAUGAGACUGGAAAAAACCUGAUUGGCAAAAGAGAGAAUACUCUUGGGUCAUGUUGAGUUCGAGAUGCUUAUUAAGCUUCCACAUAGUGAUAUCUAGUUGGCUGUUGGAUACAGGAAUCUAGAAUCCUGGGCGUGAAUAUUUUAAAGAUAUUGGACAUGAUGAGUUUGCCCAGUUAGAGUGUGGACAAAAGAUACGAGACCCAGGAUAGACCCCUGAGGCGCUCAACAUUUAGAGGUGCAGGCAGAGGCAAAAGACCCACCAAAGGAGCAUGAAAAGGAAUUGUGAGGUAGGAGGAAGCCACCAGGGUGCUGGUGAGGAGACAAGGGAAAUGGGUAAAGUUCUAGGCAACAGAGAAAGGGGAUAUUUCAAUUUUAUUUCUUUAACUUCUGCAUCCUCCAAACCCAGUAAGCCAUUUUAAAUAUGAUUUCCAAUGAGAAUACAUCUGGUCAAAUUAAUAUACUCACGAACAGCGUCCCCACAAUGAACUUUUGGCCCAAGAUUCAUUUGUCAAGGAGAUGCGGAAUCAGUGGAAUGGCCAAUAGAACGUGGACUCUGAAGCAACCUUCCCAAAAAUACAGUCAUUUUUGAGAUGGAGACAUCGAAGCCAAGGAAAUUCAUUUCCAGCUUCACGUCUGAAGGUUUGAGUUCACAUUUCAGCACUAACAAUUGUGUAUCUCUAGGGGAACUAUAUGAGGUUUCUGAGCCUCAGUUUCAUUUUCUAUAUAAUGGGUGUAAUAACCACUGUGUAUUUGUGAUUACUCUCAUCCCUCUGAGUAGAUACAAUCUUUCUGUACAAUAAUAAGACUUCACGCUUUCCUAUCUUAGAAACCCCUUUAAAACUCCUCCCCAGACCUUCCCCUAGGUACUACUUGCUGCAUUAGGUGCUGCUCUGUGUCUAAGAACUGCUGACUUUGUUUGUCUGCAGUUACUCAUUAUAAUGUCAUUACCUACCAAGGAAGGAGUAUUGUUGCCUGGGCUGCUAGCCUCUGCUUCAUUUGGUCAUGCUUGAACUCUCUUCUUAGCUCACAUCUCCUUUCUAGUCACAAGGAUGUAAAAUUGUCUUCAGUUUCCUCCCACCCAUUCUUAUUUUAUAAAUUGUUCGAGAAGGCGUUGGUGACCUUUACAUGUGCCUCCAAAUGCACUGGCUUCACACAUGGUUUCUUGCACUAGCCUUGCAUCUUCAUGUCCUUCAAGUCAAUCAAUUCCUUCCACCAUCCAUACUGUCCAAUCAACCUCAACACCACCUAACUCACAUGGUGCUUGAAGGAAUCAAAUACUUUAGCACACAUGUUGUGAACUUCAUCUACAAAGGCAAAAGAGUUUUCUUGGUACUCUUGUAGCUAGAUCUUUAAGCCUUUAAAAAUAGACAAAUGGGGACUAAAAUCAAAAAGGGCUUAUGUAAGUAGAUUAAAGCAUUUGUUCUGAUUGAUGCAGACAUUUAAAAAUGCAUUAUUCUAAAGAACACAAUUCUAGCUCUGUGGAAGUGCUAUUGAAUUUCAGUCCUCUAUGCCUUAUGAUUUUUGUAACAUUCUGUUUUAGAGUCCAACAAUAGACUCUGAAUUUUCCCAGAGACAUGAAAAGUGGUCUGUAAACAAAAUGACCAUUCUUCUAGAAAUCAAAUCAUCACCAAUUAAUAGAACAAGGACAUCAUUUUUCACCCAUCAUUGCAUUAGCUCAUUAGCUCAGGCUGCCAUAAAAAGCUACCAUAGACUAGGUAGCUUAAAUGACAGAAAUUCAUUUUUUUGCAGUUCCUGAGGCUGGAAAAUCCAGGUUCAAGGUGACAGCCAAUUCUGUUUCUGGUGAGGGCCCUCUUGCUGGCUUGGAAAUAGCCAACUUCUCACUAUGUCCUCAUGUGGCCUUUCCUCAGUGCAUGUGCAUGUCGUAUGUAUGUGAAGGAGAUCUCUCUCUCUCUUCCUCUUCCUAUAAGGCCACCAAUUCUAUUGGAUUAGGACCCCACCCUUAUGACCUCAUUUAACCUUAAUUACCUCCUAAAAGCCUUACCUUCAAAUCUAAUCACAUUGGUGGCUAGGGCUUAAACAUAUGAAUUUUGGGGAAAGAGCCAUAAUUUAGUCCAUAGCACUGGUAAACACUGCUCAGAGUUCAUUGCAAAGGGCACUUUUGUACACUGCUCGUGGGGGUAAAUCUGGUGUAGUCAUUAUGGAGGGAAAUGAGGUGACGAGUACCAGUGGUCUUAAAAUGGUCUCUGAUGCGAUAAUUCCUCAUUUACACCCUUAAGAAAAUAAUCAGAGCUGUAUAUACAGAUUUUUGAAUACAUCUUUUUCUAAACCUACUAUUUAUAAAUGCAAAGGCCUAAAAAUAACCCUUUUAUGUUCAACAAUGGGAUAAUAAACACAUAAAUUCAGAGGCAAUAAUAUGGUGCCAAUGUGGUAGAGUGAGGAGAAAUAAUCUUUUUUGAAAAAUCUUUAAUGCCAUGAGAACAUAUUUAGGAUAAUAUUUAGAGGGGAAAUAGGCUACUUAAAGGAAUCAUUUAGAAUAAAUUAAUAUUUUUAAUGCAUAUAUAAAUUUGAUAUGCAUUUACAUAAUAUCAGAAGAAUAGACAUAUAAAUAGUAACUGGUUAGGACUGCUUGGUGGGAUUUAGGGUGGUUUUUUUUUCUUCAAAGUCUUUUGUGUUUCCAAACUAUUGACAGUUCGCAUUUAUUAUCAGUAUACUAAGGAAAAAAAGCCAUUUUAAAAAUAGCUCUAGGAAACUAUUCAAAUCUAAAGCUUAAGCAUUUAUAUUUCAUGCUGCUUAUGAGAAGACCAGGGACAUGUAGCAGUUGCUUGUUUUUUUCUUUGUAAUUCUAGUCAUUCUAUGUGACUCCCCUGUAGCAGGCAGAAUAAUGGUCCCCUAAAGAUUUCUACACUCUAGCCCCUAGAACUUGUGAAUGUGUUACAUGGCAAAGGGGAGUUUGCAGAUGGGAUUAAAGGUAUAGGUCUUGAGAUGGGAAGAUUAUCCUGGGUUGGCUUAGUGGACUCUAUCUAAUCAUAUAGGUCCUUAAAAUCGGAUAAACUUUUUGGGCUGUGGUCAGAGGGAGAUCUGACGGCAGCACCAGAAGGACUUGGCCCGCCACUGAAAUUGCCUUUUUCACCUUUUGCAGGGAAUUCUGGUAGCCUGCAGAAGGUGAAAAAGGCAAGGCAAGAAAAUCUCCCCUAAAUCUUCCAGAAGGCAUGCUGUGCAGCUGGCACCUUGAUUUUAACGCAGUGAGAUUUGCGUUGGACUUUUAACCUAUAAAACCAUGAGAUAAUAAAUGUGUAUUGUUUUAAGCUACUAAGUUAGUUGUAAUUUGCCACGGCAGUAAUAGAAAGUUGAUGUAGUCUUGAAAAGUAAUUUCACUCAAUCUUGUUUAAUUUGGUGUUCACACCACCCCCUCCAUUAUAACCACCUGUUUUCUUUUUUUUUUUUAAUCUUAAUUAUUCAACAAGUAUUAACUGAGGACCAGCUAUGAACUGGACACUGUUAGGUGCUGAGGAAAAGAGAAAGGAAGUGUAAGAUACAGCUCUGAGUUUGGUAGUACAGACAAAUGACCUUUUAGAGAGAACCAAGAGCGUGUUAGGGAAGAAACACUGUGUUGCUAUAAUAUUAAUCUGAUCUUUUUAAUGAUUUUCUGUAGCUUAAUGUUCAUUCUUUUGAGAUAUUUCUGUUUAACUGAUAUCAGAGAUGAAGUCUACAUAUAAGAACAAUAAAUUUCCUUUGCAUUUUCUUUCUUACUCUUUGUGACUAUCAACCCAGCAGAUACAACCUUUAAAUAAAUUUAUCGUCUAUCUCAGUAUAGAGACCUCUAAGUCACCAAAUAUGCUCAUCCUGCUAAUAAAAUUAAAGGCAGUUGUUCUUAUCCCAGAGAACAUCAAGAACAAUCCCAGAAUUCUAUCAACUGCAUGCAGGUGUGGGCUGUUAGAAUUCUGUGGUGUUAAAUGUGAUGAAUCAUGCCAUUUUAUUCGUUAGCCAGUUGAUUAUUUCUUUGAAAUGUGAUUGCCUACAUUGUGCUGGCCUUUGGUCAUACAAAGAGAAAUAAAGCCACUCCUUCACCUUCAGGAGCACCGAAUUAAGCAUGGGAGACAGAGACACAACCAUGACAAAAUGUGACAUGUAUGCAAUUAACAGGUAUGCAAGUCCCGUGGGGUGACAGUGAAUGGAGCAAUUAUUUGGUAUCCGGAGAACUAAGGUGGGAAGGGAGGUUGGAGGGACAUUUGAAUUGACUCUGAAGAUCAAGCAUGAAUUUGCCAAGUGGAAUUAGAGAAAGGGUAUCCAUGAUAGAUAAAAUAACAUGGACAAAGGCUGGGAGGUAGGGAAGUGCGUUGAUCUUUCCUGUAAAGGAAUGGGCUGCUCAAAGGAGUCUAAGGAGCAAAGAGGGGUUUGGAAGAGACAUCUGAAGUUAGAUAGUAAAAUAUAUUAAAUGCCAAGCUAGAUGACUGAACUUGAUCCUAGAGGCAAUGGGAACUAACAGAGGUUUUUAAGCAUGCCAAUGUCACCAUAAGCUCUAUGGUUAUAAACUGCUGUCCAGUUUUCUGCAGUGAUGAAAAUGUUCUAUUUCCGCAUUAAAAUGUUACAGCCACUAGCCACUAGCUCAAAUGUUGCAGUGACUGUUGAGCCACUGAAAUAUAACUAUUGUGAUUAAGGAACUGAAUUUUUACUUCUAUUUAAUUUGAAUUAAUUUAAGUUUACUUUUAGCAAGCCACACGUGGCUAGUGACCACCAUAUUGGGCAGCCCAGAGCUAGAAAGUUAUCUCUGGAGGAGUAUUGAAUGGAAGAGGAGAGAAGGCUUCCUACAGGGAAAAAAAGACUAUAUUAAAGAGGGAAUCAUUUCUUUUCCUUUCAGAGAUAAAUUUUUAACACUAUAUAAAUGAUUUUGACCAUGGAUUGUGUACAGAUGGGUGCCAACUUAUGAUGGCUCAUCUUACCAUUUUUUGACUUUAUAAUGCUGUGAAAGCAAUACGCAUUUAGUAGAAACCAUACUUUGAGUAUCCAUACAAGCAUUUUGUUUUUCACUUUAAGUACAGUAUUCAAUAAAUUACAUGAGAUAUUCAGCACUUUAUUACAAAAUAGGCUUCGUGUUAGAUGACUUUGCCCAACUUUAGGCUAAUGUAAGUGUUCUGAGCACAUUCCAGGUAGGCUAGGCUAAGCUAUAAUGUUUAGUAGGUUAGGUGUAUUCAAUGCCUUUUUGACUUAUGAUAUUUUUAACUUAUGAUGUGAUUACUGAGAUGUAACUCCAUUGUAAGUCAAGGAGCAUCUAUACUCAAAUAUAGACCAUUAAUAAUAUGGAGCCAACAGGCGUGGUGGCUCACGUCUGUAAUCCCAGAACUUUGGGAGGCCGAGGUCAGGGGAUCACUUGAGCUCAGGAGUUCAAGACCAGCCUGGACAACAUGGUGAAACCCUGUCUCUACAAAAAAAAUUUAAAAAAUUAGCCAGGCAUGGUGGCGGGUGCCUAUGGAGCUAGCUACUCGGAAGGCUGAGGUGGUGGUACCAGUGGAGGGACUUGACUAUGAGUUGUGCAGGUUCUUGGUCUUUUGAACAAAGAAUUGGACAAAACAUGCAAACAAAGCAAUGAAAGGAUGAAGCAACAAAAGCACAGAUUUAUUGAAACCAACGUACACUCCACAGAAUGGGAGUGGGCUUGAGCAAGCAGCUGAAAAGCACUGGUUACAGAAUUUUCUGGGGUUUGAAUACCUUCUAGUGAUUUCCCAUUGGUUACUUGGUUGUACCUAUGUAAAUGAAAGAGUGGCCCACGACCAGUUUGAUUGGUUGCAGGAGGUGACCAAUCAGAGUCUGAAGUGAAGUUACAAAGUUACACAUGAAGACUAGUCCUGCGACCAGUCUGAUUGGUUGCGGGAGGGGACCAAUUAGAGGUACUUUCCAUUUUUCAUCUGCACAGUGCAAAGGUAGUAACCUCUGAUCCUUUCGUUACUUCAGUGUGGAGAGGUGGGGUUUUCCUUUUGAUUCAGUUCUAGGAAGUCAGGGCGAAUUGGCUUUAGGUAACCUGUCUCCAGACCCUAUUCUCCUGCCUCAGUGGGAGGAUCACCUGAGCCUAGGAGGCAGAGGUUGCAGCAACCUAAGAUCAUGCCACUGCACUCCAGCUUGGGUGACAGAGCAAAACCCUGUCUCAAAUAAUAAUAAUAAUAAUAAUAAAGGAGCCAGUUUAGUUUGUGUGCCUAUAAUCCAGAAGAAAGGUGUUUCAGUGUACAGUCAGAGACGAUAACCACUAAUCCUGCCUCUGGGCUGAGGAUGGGACAUUGAACAACUGUUUUAUUCCUUAUUCCUUAGUAUUUAUUUUAUAGAGUUGAAUCUCCAACCCCUCAUCUACUUACCCACCAUACUAUCUGUGUAACUACAGUUAACAUGCAGUAGCCAAGACAGUGACUCUCAAUGUGGGAAGGGGGUGAUUUUGUUUCCCAGGGAACAUUUGGCAAUGUUUGGAGACGUUUUGAGUUAUCACAACUGGGGAAGGGGUGCUACUGGCAUCUAGUGGGUAGAAGCCAGGGAUGCUGCAAAACAUCCUACCACGCACGGGACAAUGAUGCAGUCCAAAAUAUCAAUAGUGCUGAGGUGAAGAAAUCCUGGUCUAGAGCAGUGGUUUUCAACCCUCAAUGUUCAUUAGAGUCACUUGGGAAACUUUAAAAAAUCCCUAUGCCCUGGUCAUUCCCCAGGCCAACUAAAUCAGAAACUCUGAGAUUGGGGCCCAACCCAGGUUUUGGUGCUUUUUAAAGAGAUCUCCAAGUGAUUCUAAUAUGAAGCCAGAGUUGAGAGCUACUGGCAUAAAGAUAGUCCAAAAUAUCCUAUUCUUAAGCCCUCAACAUAUCUGACUCCUAUGAACAUCCAUUUUGUGUCUCUCAUGCAGUCUUCUGCCAAAACCAUGUCCCUGUCUUUUACUUAGUCUAUUUGUCACUGCAGGGCUCUUGAAACCUGUCAGACACCUAAAUAUGGAAACAAUAGACACUGGGGACUACUAGAUGACAGAGGGAGGGAGAGGGGCUAGCGUUGAAAAACUAACUGUUGGGUCCUAUGUUCACCACCCGGGUGAAGGGAUCAGAUCAUUCACAUCCCAAACCUCACUAUUAUGUAAUACGCCAUGUAACAAACCUACACAUGUACUCCAUGAAUCUAAAAGUUGAAAUUAUAUAUAUAAUAUUUAUAAAUA
RNAcentral lists this long non-coding RNA (9648 nucleotides) under Homo sapiens (human). RNAcentral's name for it is "HSALNT0406988". The record is from RNAcentral. Lineage: Eukaryota; Metazoa; Chordata; Mammalia; Primates; Hominidae.